AUGCCUAAAAUAUGUGAAAGUAAUUUCGUGAAUGUGAAUGGUACGAAUCCGAGCGAGUCAACUAAGAGGAUCGAGUUGAAUCCAUGGGAGCUCCAGUAUCUUCUGUCUGCUCUCAUCCAGACGGGUCUUCUCUUUCGCAAGCCUACACCCCCACAAGAGCAUAGCAUCAUAGAUCACUUGAAAACCUCCCUCUCUCGCACUCGACUUGUUCUAUCCAUUCGUCGCCCGCCUUGGCACCACCGUAAACGACGACAAUACCACUUGUUUCUUUAUCAACUGUAGUGGCGCUGGAGUUCAAUUUAUCCAUGCAGCCGCCAAUGGCGUCACCAUGGGGGACAUCCUUGAUCCUAUCUACGUUCCUAGGAUCAUGUCUUCCUUUUUCCCACUUCAUGAGACUCGGAGCUUCCAUGGCGUUUCUGAGCCACUACUUGCGGUGCAAGUGACGGAGCUGGUGGACGGCAUCUUUGUUGGUUGCACCAUGAAUCAUGUGGUGUCGGAUGGAACUUCCUUCCAACAUUUCUUCAAAAUCAUACAACAAUCAGGCUACUUGGACCGCGCUCUCUUCAACACUUAUGCAAAGCCAUCUCGAGGUUGUAUCAUGUCUCUCAAGGGAAUCCUAGACAAUCUGCACAAGGGUGAGACAACCAUUACAGAGUAUAUGCAGCUCAUUAAAAUGUGCAAUGAUGAGCUUCUCCUCACGAAUGUCGCCUACGAUAUUGACGAGCUCAUUCUUAAAAUUAUGUGGUCUUUGUGA
Molecule: RNA transcript, 754 nt
Organism: Vitis vinifera (wine grape)
Lineage: Eukaryota; Viridiplantae; Streptophyta; Magnoliopsida; Vitales; Vitaceae
Exons: 2
Source: RefSeq, a predicted model, not a curated record